RNAcentral lists this ribosomal RNA (497 nucleotides) under uncultured bacterium. RNAcentral's name for it is "partial 16S ribosomal RNA". It matches the Rfam family "Bacterial small subunit ribosomal RNA", at positions 28 to 507 of the family's 1533-position model. The record is from RNAcentral.
GAUGAACGCUGGCGGCGUGCCUAAUACAUGCAAGUCGAGCGAACAGACGAGGAGCUUGCUCGUCUGACGUUGGCGGCGGACGGGUGAUGAACACGUGUAUAACCUACCUAUAAGACUGGGAUAACUACGGGAGACCGGAUCUAAUACCGGAUCAUAUAUUGAACCGCAUGGUUCAAUGGUGAAAGACGGUUUUGCUGUGACUUAUAGAUGGAUCCGAGCCGGAUUAGCUAGUUGGUAAGGUAACGGCUUACCAAGGCAACGAUGCGUAGCCGAUCUGAGAGGGUGAUCGGCCACACUGGAACUGAGACACGGUCCAGACUCCUACGGGAGGCAGCAGUAGGGAAUCUUCCGCAAUGGGCGAAAGCCUGAUAGAGCAACGCCGCGUGAGUGAUGAAGGUCUUCGGAUCGUAAAGCUCUGUUAGUAGGGAAGAAGAAAAGUGUGAUUAACCAUGCCCGUCUUGACGGUACCUAAACAGAAAGCCACGGCUAACUACGUG